RNAcentral lists this ribosomal RNA (468 nucleotides) under uncultured bacterium. RNAcentral's name for it is "partial 16S ribosomal RNA". It matches the Rfam family "Bacterial small subunit ribosomal RNA", at positions 28 to 507 of the family's 1533-position model. The record is from RNAcentral.
GGCGAACGCUGGCGGCGUGCUUAACACAUGCAAGUCGAACGGAAGGGCCCUGCUUUUGUGGGGUGCUCGAGUGGCGAACGGGUGAGUAACACGUGAGUAACCUGCCCUUGACUUUGGGAUAACUUCAGGAAACUGGGGCUAAUACCGGAUAGGAGCUCCUGCUGCAUGGUGGGGGUUGGAAAGUUUCGGCGGUUGGGGAUGGACUCGCGGCUUAUCAGCUUGUUGGUGGGGUAGUGGCUUACCAAGGCUUUGACGGGUAGCCGGCCUGAGAGGGUGACCGGCCACAUUGGGACUGAGAUACGGCCCAGACUCCUACGGGAGGCAGCAGUGGGGAAUAUUGCACAAUGGGCGGAAGCCUGAUGCAGCAACGCCGCGUGCGGGAUGACGGCCUUCGGGUUGUAAACCGCUUUCGCCUGUGACGAAGCGUGAGUGACGGUAAUGGGUAAAGAAGCACCGGCUAACUACGUG